This is a long non-coding RNA of Mirounga angustirostris (Northern elephant seal), 545 nucleotides long. RefSeq lists it as uncharacterized. NCBI's taxonomy places the organism in Eukaryota, Metazoa, Chordata, Mammalia, Carnivora, Phocidae. The transcript is spliced from 3 exons. The record is from RefSeq and is a predicted model, not a curated record.
GUUCUCCUUCCAGGACCAGGCCUGUCCGAGUCUCUAAGGCUGAGAGUGGAAUUCUUCUCGGAGCCUUUCUGCAUUUGUCAGCGUGUGAGCGCCGGGCACACAGGCCCGGCUUGCGGCAUCCGGGAGAAAGUGACAAUCUCUGCAGACAGUGAAUGAGCCGAAUGCCUGAAAAAGUGUGUAACGCACGUGAUGCCCUAACCGUAUCGGAGUUUACAGGAUGACACCUUGAGCGUUUACAGCUUCAACAUCCCAGCCCCUGGCACGCUCACGCCCCGGUUGCUCAGUGUGCACCCCCUACGUCCUCCCUGGUGGAGUUGACCCUGGGGCAGUCUUCUAUCAGGACUACGCUAGGCAUCGGGGACCACUAAAAAUAGUAUCUGACUUCCAUUAAUGCUAGAAAAUGCUUCCCCUUCUCUGUUUUCGUGCCUGGGCUCCCACCGGUUUCAGAUGGACUUGGGUGAAGACCCUGGCUUUUACAAAAGCAAACACCUGGCAGGGCCCAAGUGUGAACUCUUCAGGAGGCCUUAGAAGCACUGCAGGGACGG